Molecule: transfer RNA, 64 nt
Filed under: Marmota monax (woodchuck)
Lineage: Eukaryota; Metazoa; Chordata; Mammalia; Rodentia; Sciuridae
Description: tRNA.Ala
Source: RNAcentral
GUAUAGCUCAGUGGUAGAAUGCUUGCCUAGCAUGCAUGAGGAACUGGGUUCUAUCCCCAGAACA